This 399-nucleotide long non-coding RNA is filed under the name Homo sapiens (human). RNAcentral's name for it is "HSALNT0369319". Lineage: Eukaryota; Metazoa; Chordata; Mammalia; Primates; Hominidae. The record is from RNAcentral.
UAUGCUGGACAAAGGAAUGAUUCACGUCCCUACAUGAGACAGAGCAGGAUGGCCUGAGAUUUCAUCAUACUACUCAGAAUAGCACACAAUUUUAAACUCAUGAAUUUUUCUUUCUAGAAUUUUCUAUGUAAUAUUUUUGUACUGCAGUUGACUGUGGGUAACUGAGACUGGAAAAAGUGAAACCACAGGAACACAACAAGAAGGUCCUCAUCACACCAAAUACUGGCACCUUGGUCUUGGACUUCCAGCCUCCAGAACUGCCAACAGAAAGACUAGACUGGAAACGAGGUUAGCAGCUGACACUUCCAUCCACAGAAUGCAUUUCAAUUAAUGGAAGGAGAAGAAACUCUCAAGUGUAUUGGAUGAGGGACAAACUGGACUGUUAACGUUUCAACUGAA